This 72-nucleotide transfer RNA is filed under the name Bos indicus x Bos taurus (hybrid cattle). It matches the Rfam family "tRNA". From Rfam's summary of the family: Transfer RNA (tRNA) molecules are approximately 80 nucleotides in length. The record is from Rfam by way of RNAcentral. Lineage: Eukaryota; Metazoa; Chordata; Mammalia; Artiodactyla; Bovidae.
UCCCUGGUGGCUCAAAUGGUAAAGAAUCUGCCUGCAGUGCAGGAGAUCCAGGUUCAACCCCUGGGUUGGGAU